Molecule: ribosomal RNA, 672 nt
Filed under: soil bacterium Chlo-S2N-M1LLLSSL-2
Lineage: Bacteria
Description: bacterial SSU rRNA
Rfam family: Bacterial small subunit ribosomal RNA
Source: RNAcentral
GAGUGGCGAACGGGUGAGUAUACAUCGGAACGUGCCCUGUAGUGGGGGAUAACUAGUCGAAAGAUUAGCUAAUACCGCAUACUACCUGAGGGUGAAAGUGGGGGACCGCAAGGCCUCAUGCUAUAGGAGCGGCCGAUGUCUGAUUAGCUAGUUGGUGAGGUAAAGGCUCACCAAGGCGACGAUCAGUAGCUGGUCUGAGAGGACGAUCAGCCACACUGGGACUGAGACACGGCCCAGACUCCUACGGGAGGCAGCAGUGGGGAAUUUUGGACAAUGGGCGAAAGCCUGAUCCAGCAAUGCCGCGUGUGUGAAGAAGGCCUUCGGGUUGUAAAGCACUUUUGUCCGGAAAGAAAUGGCUCUGGUUAAUACCUGGGGUCGAUGACGGUACCGGAAGAAUAAGGACCGGCUAACUACGUGCCAGCAGCCGCGGUAAUACGUAGGGUCCAAGCGUUAAUCGGAAUUACUGGGCGUAAAGCGUGCGCAGGCGGUUGUGCAAGACCGAUGUGAAAUCCCCGAGCUUAACUUGGGAAUUGCAUUGGUGACUGCACGGCUAGAGUGUGUCAGAGGGGGGUAGAAUUCCACGUGUAGCAGUGAAAUGCGUAGAGAUGUGGAGGAAUACCGAUGGCGAAGGCAGCCCCCUGGGAUAACACUGACGCUCAUGCACGAAAGCGU